AAAACUCUAUUGUUCUUCCUUUGUUUUGUUUUUCCAGAAUUUUAUUAUCUUUUUGAUUUUCUAGAUCUCAGAUUUUUGAAUUUCAAACUGUUUCUCUCAAAAUUUUCAAACGUGUGUAAUUGAGUAUGUAUCCAGCUUUGUGAAGGAGUGAGAAGUGUAAAUGAGAGAGUAGGAGUGAGAGAGAGACAAUGAAUUCUAUGAAUGAG
RNAcentral lists this long non-coding RNA (206 nucleotides) under Nicotiana benthamiana. RNAcentral describes it as "long non-coding RNA (NBEN_LNC029132)". The record is from RNAcentral. Lineage: Eukaryota; Viridiplantae; Streptophyta; Magnoliopsida; Solanales; Solanaceae.